GCCUGGGUGGCUCAGUCAGUUGAGCGUCCAACUUCAGCUCAGGUCAUGAUUUUGCGGUUCAUGAGUUCGAGUCUCACCUCAGGCU
Molecule: transfer RNA, 85 nt
Filed under: Felis catus (domestic cat)
Lineage: Eukaryota; Metazoa; Chordata; Mammalia; Carnivora; Felidae
Rfam family: tRNA
About the family: Transfer RNA (tRNA) molecules are approximately 80 nucleotides in length.
Source: Rfam by way of RNAcentral